RNAcentral lists this ribosomal RNA (1465 nucleotides) under uncultured organism. Its description in RNAcentral is "SSU rRNA". It matches the Rfam family "Bacterial small subunit ribosomal RNA". The record is from RNAcentral.
UGAACGCUGGCGGCAGGCCUAACACAUGCAAGUCGAACGGUAACAGGAAGAAGCUUGCUUCUUUGCUGACGAGUGGCGGACGGGUGAGUAAUGUCUGGGAAACUGCCUGAUGGAGGGGGAUAACUACUGGAAACGGUAGCUAAUACCGCAUAACGUCGCAAGACCAAAGAGGGGGACCUUCGGGCCUCUUGCCAUCGGAUGUGCCCAGAUGGGAUUAGCUAGUAGGUGGGGUAAAGGCUCACCUAGGCGACGAUCCCUAGCUGGUCUGAGAGGAUGACCAGCCACACUGGAACUGAGACACGGUCCAGACUCCUACGGGAGGCAGCAGUGGGGAAUAUUGCACAAUGGGCGCAAGCCUGAUGCAGCCAUGCCGCGUGUAUGAAGAAGGCCUUCGGGUUGUAAAGUACUUUCAGCGGGGAGGAAGGGAGUAAAGUUAAUACCUUUGCUCAUUGACGUUACCCGCAGAAGAAGCACCGGCUAACUCCGUGCCAGCAGCCGCGGUAAUACGGAGGGUGCAAGCGUUAAUCGGAAUUACUGGGCGUAAAGCGCACGCAGGCGGUUUGUUAAGUCAGAUGUGAAAUCCCCGGGCUCAACCUGGGAACUGCAUCUGAUACUGGCAAGCUUGAGUCUCGUAGAGGGGGGUAGAAUUCCAGGUGUAGCGGUGAAAUGCGUAGAGAUCUGGAGGAAUACCGGUGGCGAAGGCGUGCCCCCUGGAGGAAAGAACUAACGCUCAGGUGGGAAAAGCAUGGGGAGCAAACAGGAUUAGAUGCCUGGGUAGUCCACGCCGUAAACGAUGUCGACUUGGAGGUUAUGCCCUUGAGGACGUGGCUUCCGGAGCUAACGCGUUAAGUCGACCGCCUGGGGAGUACGGCCGCGAGGUUAAAACUCAAAUGAAUUGACGGGGGCCCGCACAAGCGGUGGAGCAUGUGGUUUAAUUCGAUGCAACGCGAAGAACCUUACCUGGUCUUGACAUCCACAGAACUUUCCAGAGAUGGAUUGGUGCCUUCGGGAACUGUGAGACAGGUGCUGCAUGGCUGUCGUCAGCUCGUGUUGUGAAAUGUUGGGUUAAGUCCCGCAACGAGCGCAACCCUUAUCCUUUGUUGCCAGCGGUCCGGCCGGGAACUCAAAGGAGACUGCCAGUGAUAAACUGGAGGAAGGUGGGGAUGACGUCAAGUCAUCAUGGCCCUUACGACCAGGGCUACACACGUGCUACAAUGGCGCAUACAAAGAGAAGCGACCUCGCGAGAGCAAGCGGACCUCAUAAAGUGCGUCGUAGUCCGGAUUGGAGUCUGCAACUCGACUCCAUGAAGUCGGAAUCGCUAGUAAUCGUGGAUCAGAAUGCCACGGUGAAUACGUUCCCGGGCCUUGUACACACCGCCCGUCACACCAUGGGAGUGGGUUGCAAAAGAAGUAGGUAGCUUAACCUUCGGGAGGGCGCUUACCACUUUGUGAUUCAUGACUGGGG